RNAcentral lists this ribosomal RNA (234 nucleotides) under uncultured bacterium. RNAcentral's name for it is "partial 16S ribosomal RNA". It matches the Rfam family "Bacterial small subunit ribosomal RNA", at positions 1267 to 1500 of the family's 1533-position model. The record is from RNAcentral.
GCGAAUCUCGAAAGCCUGUCUCAGUUCGGAUUGGAGGCUGAAACCCGCCUCCAUGAAGUUGGAUUCGCUAGUAAUCGCGCAUCAGCCAUGGCGCGGUGAAUACGUUCCCGGGCCUUGUACACACCGCCCGUCACACCAUGGGAGCCGGUAAUACCCGAAGUCAGUAGUUUAACCGCAAGGGGGGCGCUGCCGAAGGUAGGAUUGGCGACUGGGGUGAAGUCGUAACAAGGUAUC